CUACGGGAUGCUCCAGUGAGGAAUAUUGGACAAUGGAGGCAACUCUGAUCCAGCCAUGCCGCGUGCAGGAAGACGGCCCUACGGGUUGUAAACUGCUUUUAUACAGGAAGAAACGCCGCUACGUGUAGCGGUUUGACGGUACUGUACGAAUAAGGAUCGGCUAACUCCGUGCCAGCAGCCGCGGUAAUACGGAGGAUCCAAGCGUUAUCCGGAAUCAUUGGGUUUAAAGGGUCCGUAGGCGGUUUUUUAAGUCAGAGGUGAAAUCCUGCAGCUCAACUGUAGCAUUGCCUUUGAUACUGAAAGACUUGAGUUAUUGUGAAGUAGUUAGAAUGUGUAGUGUAGCGGUGAAAUGCAUAGAUAUUACACAGAAUACCGAUUGCGAAGGCAGAUUACUAACAAUAUACUGACGCUGAGGGACGAAAGCGUGGGUAGCGAACAGGAUUAGAUACCCUCGUAGUC
Molecule: ribosomal RNA, 459 nt
Filed under: uncultured bacterium
Lineage: Bacteria
Description: partial 16S ribosomal RNA
Rfam family: Bacterial small subunit ribosomal RNA
Source: RNAcentral